This 428-nucleotide ribosomal RNA is filed under the name Bacteroidota bacterium. RNAcentral describes it as "Bacteroidetes bacterium partial 16S ribosomal RNA". It matches the Rfam family "Bacterial small subunit ribosomal RNA", at positions 355 to 776 of the family's 1533-position model. The record is from RNAcentral. Lineage: Bacteria; Pseudomonadati; Bacteroidota.
UAGGGAAUCUUCCGCAAUGGACGCAAGACUGACGGAGCAACGCCGCGUGAGUGAAGAAGGAUUUCGGUUCGUAAAACUCUGUUGUUAGAGAAGAACAGCGCAUAGAGUAACUGUUAUGCGUGUGACGGUAUCUAACCAGAAAGCCACGGCUAACUACGUGCCAGCAGCCGCGGUAAUACGUAGGUCCCGAGCGUUGUCCGGAUUUAUUGGGCGUAAAGCGAGCGCAGGCGGUUAGAUAAGUCUGAAGUUAAAGGCAGUGGCUCAACCAUUGUAGGCUUUGGAAACUGUUUAACUUGAGUGCAGAAGGGGGGAGUGGAAUUCCAUGUGUAGCGGUGAAAUGCGUAGAUAUAUGGAGGAACACCGGUGGCGAAAGCGGCUCUCUGGUCUGUAACUGACGCUGAGGCUCGAAAGCGUGGGGAGCGAACAGG